RNAcentral lists this ribosomal RNA (225 nucleotides) under uncultured bacterium. RNAcentral's name for it is "partial 16S ribosomal RNA". It matches the Rfam family "Bacterial small subunit ribosomal RNA", at positions 524 to 747 of the family's 1533-position model. The record is from RNAcentral.
UACGGAGGGUGCGAGCGUGUCCGGAAUCAUUGGGCGUAAAGGGUGCGUAGGUGGCUGAUUAAGUCAGUGGUGAAAUACAGCCGCUCAACGGUUGAGGUGCCAUUGAUACUGAUCAGCUUGAAAGAAUUGGAGGCUGCCGGAAUGGAUGGUGUAGCGGUGAAAUGCAUAGAUAUCAUCCAGAACACCGAUUGCGAAGGCAGGUGGCUACGGAAUUUAUUUGACACU